Non-coding RNA from Bacillus sp. VT-16-64, 116 nucleotides. NCBI's taxonomy places the organism in Bacteria, Bacillati, Bacillota, Bacilli, Caryophanales, Bacillaceae. The record is from Rfam.
AGCAAUAACUGGGGGUGCCCAAUGAGUUGGGCUGAGAGGAGAAACACGAUGAAGUUUCUUAACCCUUUGGACCUGAUCUGGUUAAUGCCAGCGUAGGGAAGUUAGUCGGUAGUUUU